AUUGAACGCUGGCGGCAGGCCUAACACAUGCAAGUCGAGCGGAUGAAGGGAGCUUGCUCCUGGAUUCAGCGGCGGACGGGUGAGUAAUGCCUAGGAAUCUGCCUGGUAGUGGGGGAUAACGUCCGGAAACGGGCGCUAAUACCGCAUACGUCCUGAGGGAGAAAGUGGGGGAUAUUCGGACCUCACGCUAUCAGAUGAGCCUAGGUCGGAUUAGCUAGUUGGUGGGGUAAAGGCCUACCAAGGCGACGAUCCGUAACUGGUCUGAGAGGAUGAUCAGUCACACUGGAACUGAGACACGGUCCAGACUCCUACGGGAGGCAGCAGUGGGGAAUAUUGGACAAUGGGCGAAAGCCUGAUCCAGCCAUGCCGCGUGUGUGAAGAAGGUCUUCGGAUUGUAAAGCACUUUAAGUUGGGAGGAAGGGCAGUAAGUUAAUACCUUGCUGUUUUGACGUUACCAACAGAAUAAGCACCGGCUAACUUCGUG
RNAcentral lists this ribosomal RNA (484 nucleotides) under uncultured bacterium. Its description in RNAcentral is "partial 16S ribosomal RNA". It matches the Rfam family "Bacterial small subunit ribosomal RNA", at positions 30 to 507 of the family's 1533-position model. The record is from RNAcentral.